AUGAACGCUGGCGGCGUGCUUAACGCAUGCCAGUCGAACGAAGCACUUUAUUUGAUUUCCUUCGGGACUGAUUAUUUUGUGACUGAGUGGCGGACGGGUGAGUAACGCGUGGGUAACCUGCCUUGUACAGGGGGAUAACAGUUGGAAACGGCUGCUAAUACCGCAUAAGCGCACAGCAUCGCAUGAUGCAGUGUGAAAAACUCCGGUGGUAUAAGAUGGACCCGCGUUGGAUUAGCUAGUUGGUGAGGUAACGGCCCACCAAGGCGACGAUCCAUAGCCGACCUGAGAGGGUGACCGGCCACAUUGGGACUGAGACACGGCCCAAACUCCUACGGGAGGCAGCAGUGGGGAAUAUUGCACAAUGGGCGAAAGCCUGAUGCAGCGACGCCGCGUGAGCGAAGAAGUAUUUCGGUAUGUAAAGCUCUAUCAGCAGGGAAGAUAAUGACGGUACCUGACUAAGAAGCACCGGCUAAAUACGUG
RNAcentral lists this ribosomal RNA (480 nucleotides) under uncultured bacterium. RNAcentral's name for it is "partial 16S ribosomal RNA". It matches the Rfam family "Bacterial small subunit ribosomal RNA", at positions 29 to 507 of the family's 1533-position model. The record is from RNAcentral.